RNAcentral lists this ribosomal RNA (751 nucleotides) under Abroscelis anchoralis. RNAcentral's name for it is "Cicindela anchoralis partial 16S ribosomal RNA". The stretch from base 1 to 542 matches the Rfam family "Bacterial large subunit ribosomal RNA", at positions 1917 to 2925 of the family's 2925-position model. The record is from RNAcentral. Lineage: Eukaryota; Metazoa; Arthropoda; Insecta; Coleoptera; Carabidae.
GAGGAUUUAAAUGGCCGCAGUAUUUUGACUGUGCAAAGGUAGCAUAAUUAUUAGUUUUUUAAUUGAAAGCUCGUAUGAAUGGUUGGACGAAAUAAAUUCUGUCUUUAUUUAAAUUAAAAUAAAAUUUAACUUUUGAGUCAAAAGGCUUAAAUAAUUAUAAAAGACGAGAAGACCCUAUAGAUCUUUAUUUAGUUAAGAUUUUGAUAAUUUAAGAUUAUUUUAAUAUAAAAUUUUAACUUAAUUUUGUUGGGGUAAUGUAAAGAUUUAAUAAAUUCUUUUUAUUAAUAACAUUAAUUUAUGUAUAUAUGAUCCAGUAAUAUUGAUUAUAAGAUUAAGUUACCUUAGGGAUAACAGCGUAAUUUUUUUUGGAGAGCUCAUAUCGAUAAGAAAGUUUGCGACCUCGAUGUUGGAUUAAAAAUUAGCUUGGGUGCAGAAGCUCAAGAUUUUGGUCUGUUCGACCAUUAAAUUUUUACAUGAUCUGAGUUCAGACCGGCGUAAGCCAGGUCGGUUUCUAUCUUUAUUAAAAUAAAAUAUUUUAGUACGAAAGGACCAAGUAUUUAAUAUAAUUAUAUUUAAUUUUUGAAUAAUAUUAUUACUUUGGCAGAUUAGUGCAAUGAAUUUAGAAUUCAUGAAUGUAAUUAUAUUACAAGUAAUACUUGUAUUUAGGAGAUUUAAUUUUAAUAAUUUUAUGUAUAUUAAUUUUAGUAAUUUGUGUAUUAGUGGGGGUUGCUUUUUUAACUUUAUUAGAGCG